UCGCCUAAAGCUUAUGGUUGAAGCGUCUCCCUGAAGUCGAGAAGAAGGGCCCCUGGCGGCCUUAGGUGAA
This 70-nucleotide transfer RNA is filed under the name Polyplax asiatica. RNAcentral's name for it is "tRNA-Phe". Lineage: Eukaryota; Metazoa; Arthropoda; Insecta; Psocodea; Polyplacidae. The record is from RNAcentral.